GUUGUUGUGGUGUAGUGGUUAUCACGUCAGUCUUACACAGUAAAGGUCCCCAGUUCGAUCCUGGGCAACAACA
This 73-nucleotide transfer RNA is filed under the name Ipomoea nil (Japanese morning glory). It matches the Rfam family "tRNA". From Rfam's summary of the family: Transfer RNA (tRNA) molecules are approximately 80 nucleotides in length. Their secondary structure includes four short double-helical elements and three loops (D, anti-codon, and T loops). Further hydrogen bonds mediate the characteristic L-shaped molecular structure. tRNAs have two regions of fundamental functional importance: the anti-codon, which is responsible for specific mRNA codon recognition, and the 3' end, to which the tRNAs corresponding amino acid is attached (by aminoacyl-tRNA synthetases). tRNAs cope with the degeneracy of the genetic code in two manners: having more than one tRNA (with a specific anti-codon) for a particular amino acid; and 'wobble' base-pairing, i.e. permitting non-standard base-pairing at the 3rd anti-codon position. The record is from Rfam by way of RNAcentral. Lineage: Eukaryota; Viridiplantae; Streptophyta; Magnoliopsida; Solanales; Convolvulaceae.